RNAcentral lists this ribosomal RNA (253 nucleotides) under uncultured bacterium. RNAcentral's name for it is "partial 16S ribosomal RNA". It matches the Rfam family "Bacterial small subunit ribosomal RNA", at positions 524 to 776 of the family's 1533-position model. The record is from RNAcentral.
UACGAGAGGUCCAAACGUUAUUCGGAAUCACUGGGCUUACAGAGUUCGUAGGCGGUUCUACAAGUGGGGUGUGAAAGCCCUCGGCUCAACCGAGGAACUGCGCUCCAAACUGUAGAACUAGAGGAAGAUAGAGGUGAGCGGAACUGAUGGUGGAGCGGUGAAAUGCGCUGAUAUCAUCAGGAACACCGGAGGCGAAGGCGGCUCACUGGGUCUUUUCUGACGCUGAGGAACGAAAGCUAGGGGAGCAAACGGG